GAUGAACGCUGGCGGCGUGCCUAAUACAUGCAAGUCGAGCGAACAGACGAGGAGCUUGCUCCUUUGACGUUAGCGGCGGACGGGUGAGUAACACGUAGGUAACCUACCUAUAAGACUGGGAUAACUUCGGGAAACCGGAGCUAAUACCGGAUAAUAUUUUGAACCGCAUGGUUCGAUAGUGAAAGAUGGCUUUGCUAUCACUUAUAGAUGGACCUGCGCCGUAUUAGCUAGUUGGUAAGGUAACGGCUUACCAAGGCAACGAUACGUAGCCGACCUGAGAGGGUGAUCGGCCACACUGGAACUGAGACACGGUCCAGACUCCUACGGGAGGCAGCAGUAGGGAAUCUUCCGCAAUGGGCGAAAGCCUGACGGAGCAACGCCGCGUGAGUGAUGAAGGUCUUCGGAUCGUAAAACUCUGUUAUUAGGGAAGAACAAACGUGUAAGUAACUGUGCACGUCUUGACGGUACCUAAUCAGAAAGCCACGGCUAACUACGUG
Molecule: ribosomal RNA, 497 nt
Filed under: uncultured bacterium
Lineage: Bacteria
Description: partial 16S ribosomal RNA
Rfam family: Bacterial small subunit ribosomal RNA
Source: RNAcentral